Molecule: ribosomal RNA, 270 nt
Filed under: uncultured bacterium
Lineage: Bacteria
Description: partial 16S ribosomal RNA
Rfam family: Bacterial small subunit ribosomal RNA
Source: RNAcentral
AACGAACGCUGGCGGCAGGCCUCAAACAUGCAAGUCUAGGGGGUGUAGCAAUACAUCACCGGCGGACGGGUGCGUAACACGUGGGAAUAUACCUUUUGGUUCGGAACAACGCAGGGAAACUUGCGCUAAUACCGAAUGUGCCCUUACGGGGAAAGAUUUAUCGCCAAAGGAUUAGCCCGCGUCCGAUUAGCUAGUUGGUGAGGUAAUGGCUCACCAAGGCUCCGAUCGGUAGCUGUUCUGAGAGGAAGAUCAGCCACACUGGGACUGAGA